GGCCUAUAGAAAUUUUAUGACAGUAAAGGAUAAACGUGCGGAGCACAUUUCCAGAACUAGUACACAUAAAGUGAGGUUCUUGCUUUACAGUUUAUCAAGCAAUUGUGGUUCACUUAAAUUAUUAAUUAACUCUAUAAUAGAAAGAAAAUGGCAUGAUAAUAUGCCUUUUUUCUUCAUCAAAAGAGAUCCAAAGUAGAUGAUCUUCGGCCAUGUUGGUUCAUCG
RNAcentral lists this long non-coding RNA (223 nucleotides) under Solanum tuberosum (potato). RNAcentral describes it as "long non-coding RNA (STUB_LNC010648)". The record is from RNAcentral. Lineage: Eukaryota; Viridiplantae; Streptophyta; Magnoliopsida; Solanales; Solanaceae.